GGAUGUGAGGGCGAUCUGGCUGAAACAUCUGCAAUCCAUUGAUAUUGGUUGACAUGGCAGAUCUGGCUGGCUAUGUGUCUCCUUCCCUCACUGCUCCAUGUGCAUCCCUCUCAAAGCUGCUCACUCAGUGAAAGAGGAUGAGCCAUCCCAGAUCUGAUUGUCAGGGUUCCAAGUAAAACACCAUAACAAACAGAACUCCAAAGCAGAUACAUUCCUCAAAGAACAGUUUUAUUAGAAAUGUCAUAUUGGCACAGGCUGGUGAAAACCGGUUUUCAGCUA
This 279-nucleotide small RNA is filed under the name Notechis scutatus (mainland tiger snake). RNAcentral's name for it is "7SK RNA (ENSNSUG00000016604.1)". The stretch from base 1 to 177 matches the Rfam family "7SK RNA". Rfam says of the family: 7SK was discovered as an abundant small nuclear RNA in the mid-70s but a possible function has only recently been suggested. Two independent studies have found that 7SK RNA binds the CDK9/cyclin T complex (known as elongation factor P-TEFb). P-TEFb activates transcription by phosphorylating the C-terminal domain of RNA polymerase II. Lineage: Eukaryota; Metazoa; Chordata; Lepidosauria; Squamata; Elapidae. The record is from Rfam by way of RNAcentral.